AUGGCCUGGACCCCUGUCCUGCUCCCCCUCCUCACUCUCUGCAGAGGCUCUGUGUCCUCCUAUGAGGUGACACAGCCACCCUCGGUGUCAGUGUCCCCGGGACAGACAGCCAGGGUCACCUGCUCUGGAGAUUUACUGGAUAAAAGAUAUACUCAGUGGUAGCAGCACAAACCAGGCCAGUCCCCUGUACAGGUGAUAUACGAAGAUAGUGAGCGGCCCUCGGGGAUCCCUGAGCGGUUCUCUGGCUCCAGCUCAGGGAAGACGGUCACCUUGACCAUCACUGGGGCUCAGGUUGAAGAUGAAGCUGACUAUUACUGUCAAUCAUAA
Molecule: non-coding RNA, 327 nt
Organism: Lemur catta (Ring-tailed lemur)
Lineage: Eukaryota; Metazoa; Chordata; Mammalia; Primates; Lemuridae
Source: the annotation of a RefSeq genome assembly